Non-coding RNA from Pelobates cultripes (western spadefoot toad), 219 nucleotides. The record is from the annotation of a GenBank genome assembly. Lineage: Eukaryota; Metazoa; Chordata; Amphibia; Anura; Pelobatidae.
UGUUAGUCUAGUUGGUAAAGGGGAGAAGUGUGGCGAAACCAACCUCGCCACUGUGAACUGGAGAAGCCUGGUUGCUCGCCUGCUCCCUUUGGACUAUGGCCCUGCAGGUUAAACUGUGUAUUUCCCCUGCAGAAAGGCUUAUUUGUGUGAUCUGAGUGCCAUUCAUCUAAUAAUGUGCACUCAGAUCCCAGCUAUCUGGGGAUAUGUGAAAUGUCUGUG